This 331-nucleotide unclassified non-coding RNA is filed under the name soil metagenome. Its description in RNAcentral is "partial contains 5.8S ribosomal RNA, internal transcribed spacer 2, and large subunit ribosomal RNA". The stretch from base 1 to 120 matches the Rfam family "5.8S ribosomal RNA", at positions 35 to 154 of the family's 154-position model. The record is from RNAcentral.
GAUGAAGAACGUAGCGAAAUGCGAUAAGUAAUGUGAAUUGCAGAAUUCAGUGUAUCAUCGAAUCUUUGAACGCACAUUGCGCCCCCUGGUAUUCCGGGGGGCAUGCCUGUUCGAGCGUCAUUUCACCACUCAAGCCUCGCUUGGUAUUGGGCAUCGCGGUCCGCCGCGCGCCUCAAAUCGACCGGCUGGGUCUUCUGUCCCCUAAGCGUUGUGGAAACUAUUCGCUAAAGGGUGUUCGGGAGGCUACGCCGUAAAACAACCCCAUUUCUAAGGUUGACCUCGGAUCAGGUAGGGAUACCCGCUGAACUUAAGCAUAUCAAUAAGCGGAGGA